This is a long non-coding RNA of Benincasa hispida (wax gourd), 1315 nucleotides long. RefSeq lists it as uncharacterized. The record is from RefSeq and is a predicted model, not a curated record. Lineage: Eukaryota; Viridiplantae; Streptophyta; Magnoliopsida; Cucurbitales; Cucurbitaceae.
CAAAACAAAGCGUCCCUUUUACACUUGUAUUCAUAAGCAAUAUCCAGGAAUCUUGCUUGCUUUCUCACACUAUAAGAAAUACCUCUUUUGAUAGCCUUAGAGGAUAGCCAUUUUUAAAUAAGCCUACAAAGCUUGUGUGGUUCGGACCUCAGAGUCUACUUUAAGCUGCUGACCAAAGCUUUGGCUGAUGGUAUCUGCAUCUUAAGAGUAAUAAAACACUUCCAAUUUUGCUGAGACAUGGAGGAUUGACUGAGAUUUUGGAUGCUGAAAGUUAGUUUCUGCACUUCAUCUUCUUCUCUCUUCAAACCCACAAAAUACUCAUCAAAUUCCUUUAAAAUCUAAGUUCCACCACUCAAAUUCAAGGUUGAGAAUAGUAGAGAAGAUCUCUUGGUGUUUAAGGACUAAUUUGGAGUUGAAUUGGAGUAAAUAGUAGCUUGGAUUUGAAGAUUUCAUCAUCAAAAGGUAUAUAACUUGAAACCCACUUGAAUAUGCAUACUUUAGAACUCAAAUUAAAUGUAAUUAGAGUGCUUAUUGAUUCUGUUUGCUUCCGUUGCAUGCUUAUGUAUCCCUUCAAAAAGCAUGGUAUCUUCCUUAAUAAAGGACAAGGUAAAUUUGUCAUAACUCUCUUUAUCUAUUUAAAUUGUGUUUUAUAUAACAUUUUGAAUAUGUUGUUUCUAUAGGAAAAAAUGAAUGAAAAAAAAAUUCUAAUAAUCUUGUUAAAGUAUCAGCAUCGGCAGAUAUUCCAGCUCUAAUCCUAAAUUCCCCACCGGUAAAUUCAUUUAUAAAUUUUCUAUUCAUUUAGUCUUCGAAAUUAUUAUUGUUUGAAAAUUUUCUAACCGUAUUAUUGGUCAAAAAGAGUGUAACUACCAACACUCUCCAUAAGUGUUUGUUGCUAGAUUGGAUCAGUUUAGGAGAAGUCACUGCUGAAGGUAGAUGAUCUUUCAAUGAUCCAUCAAUCUUUGUCCAUCACAUACCUCUUGGCCUGAAUGUAGUUCGUGUAUGGGUUGAUACGAUAAAAAUAUCAAAUUCCUUCUUAUGGAGGCCUAUAUUUGAUAUUAUUCUUAUUGAAGAUGUCGUGGGCACUACUGUUGCAUGGCCAAUGGAUAAACUCAAACUAUGUGAUUGAUAUGAUGACAAACAUUGAAGCUACAUAUUUUUGUGGGAGAAUUUUGGUAUCACUAAAUCUAAACAUCUCUUUAGAUUGUAUCAACUUUUUGGGAUUAUAUAUGUAGUCAUUUUAUUUGGAUUAAGAAUUUAUAAUUUGUUCUAUUAGGUAAGAACUUUGUUGGAACAUACUUUUGAUGACUAUAUCAAA